Episyrphus balteatus (marmalade hoverfly) is the source of this 548-nucleotide long non-coding RNA. RefSeq lists it as uncharacterized. NCBI's taxonomy places the organism in Eukaryota, Metazoa, Arthropoda, Insecta, Diptera, Syrphidae. The record is from RefSeq and is a predicted model, not a curated record. The transcript has 2 exons.
CGCCAUUCCAUUUCCGGUUCUAUUAUUUCUAAAAUGUUCUUCUUCCUUUUCCUUCGUAGUCUAAAAUUUUCAUCAUUCGUUUUAAUGUAUUGACAGCGUCAGGUUGUCACGCGUCCGCGUUUUUUUGUUUCACGUUCAUCUUUUAAUAAAAAUUUAAUUGGUAGGUAAUAAAGGGUUUAUUUAUUUUAUAAAUAAUCAAAAAAAAAAAAACAAUGAUGAAAAUUAUAGAUAGGGACAUCUGAAAAAGAUGAUGAUUUAUCGUAGAUAAAUACAACUGACACCUCAUCAAUAAUUUUUUAUUUGUUGAACCAUCCUUUGUGCGUUGAUUAAUUUUUUUUAUUUUUAUAUUUUAUGUACUGCGAGACGCAUUUUGGCAAAAACUGUGAACCUAGCAAAACUAGGAAAUUGGAUAUUUUUUUGGAAAGGUGUUUUGCUGAGUUAAACGGUUAAUGUUGUCAAUGUACUCGCUUGUAUGUGACGCCAUUUUGUAGAACAAAGGCGUUAUCUUAACUUGAAAAUAAAAUUUAAUUUUUAUAAAUCUAAAUAAA